AGUAGUAACAACACCACCCAGACCGCCGAAGACGGAACGAAUACGCUGAGUAACUUCAGUGUGUGUGCACUUACUUUCCAAAAACAGGUGGAGGGUUUUCAGCCCUGACUUCUGCUUGCACAUCGCAGUCAGCACAGAUGGGUGGUAAUAUUGCCUGCUACGCGGUGGAAAGGCUAUGGUUCGUUAGCAUCAUAUUAACACCUUAAGCAGCUAGAAACAAACACACUUGCAUUUAUUUACAUUGUGAUAGUCUCCAAAGGCUCCAUCCAGCAUUGUGGUUAAAGCAAACAACGAAUCAGCAAAGCAAGUCCAGAGUUCAAGCAGCAACAAUCAAUGCACUGAGCUCACACGCUGGCAAACUUUGGCUUGUGGGUACCUGCACAACAGUGAAGUGCUCACCGGACUGCAGCAGUACUAUGAGAAAUUUGCAAAUUCUUAUGAAAAGAAAACAGAGACAAGAUUGCAUCUGGUUUGUCUAUGGCGCCAUUCAUUGCUAUAGGGAGACAACUUGGAAAAGGUGAUGAGUGGAAGCCCAAGCAGAGGAUGAUUACAUCUUUCCCUGCACAAGUUGUUAAUUGCUUUCCCCUCCAAAAUGUUAGCAUUUUUCUCCUUUUCACUUCCAUGAGCACUGUGUAUGUAAAAAUACUUUUGGAAGAGGGGGGAAGCAACCCGCUGAAAUGUUAUCUUUUUCUUGAUUUGGGUCCUUAAGCAGAACUGAACAGCAUUUCAGACUUCAGUAAGAAGGAUGAUUUGUACCUUCAGCACAAGCCAAACACCAUCUAAUAUUGUAUUUUUUCCUGAAGGUGUAGGUGGAGAACGUAUAGGUUUGAAGGAAAAACUCCACCACUGAUACCCACUGAGCGGUGAGUUGAAGCAUGCAAACCACUAAGCACUUAUUGUAAAGAUAUAACUUUGUUAAAUGCAAAGAGCAUCCCGUCAAGAGCCUUUAAUAAAGAAAAAAAGGCCACAUAGACAUCAUCUGCAGUUUCCCAAUGAGCACAUCAAUUUACUUAAUUAAAUAUUGCUUUCAAAGUUUCAGUCACAAUAGCUCUUGUCCCUUGCCAGUUGCAGUAAGAAAGAUACAUUGAACAAGGAUGUCAGCUGAACACUAGCACUGACGUUAAUGCCAACUGUCCAAAGCUUUGCCAAGUAGCUGACGUUCAGGGUGAGGACUCCCUCGUUUUCAGCUCUUUUUAAGGCUUUGUUAAAGUACUGAAAUUCUAGGAGCCCAUUUUUGUGCAUUUUGCAGAGACACAGGAGACCUUGUAUUUUCAAACAGGACAAGAUUCAUCUACCAUGCUGAGGUUCUUUAAUGGAAAGCACUUGUGUCACAAAUUAUUUUUAUUUUCAUUGCUGUCUACCAGAUUUUGGUCCCCCAUUUUGUUUCAUUAGAUUUAAGCUCACUUUGCAAGUGCACUUAUAUUUUAAUUCAGAUUUAAAAAAAAAACAACUUCCCUCCACAAAAAUGCCAGUCAUUUUCUGAAAUUAAUCUCCCACAUCCAGAUCACUAUAGAGUGACACCUACAUUUUUUUCUUGGUUUCUCAUUUCUGCACAGGACAUGGAAACUCAGAUACAUUCCCCUAGGUAGAUUUCUGUGGUUUUGCCUACAUCCUCAAUUAACUCCAGCCUACUAAUUUUUAGAAGAAGAAAUAAUUGUUUUCUCCUUCAUCUAAAAACUAUGUUUCUAAGGGAAGAAUCCAAGAACAAAACCAGUUUUGAGCAAUAGUGUCAUUCUGCAGCUCCCUAGGCAUCAGGAUUGAAGGGUAGGAUCAAAGAACUGCGAGAAGAGUGAAGACAAACCUUCCCCACGCUGUCCAUCCAUCCCCUGCUUGCUUCUUUUUCACUUUCAGUCAUAGAGAUAUAAAAAGCAGCAGUAAGAUAUGUCCAGUGACACUGAAGACAACACGUUAUAUACACACCUAUGGAACCUGUUCAGCUACCAGCAGGCUUAAUAUCGACUUCAAUUCCUCUGAAACAGAAUCACAGACUCAUAGAAUCGUUAAGGUUGGAAAAGACCCUUAAGAUCAUUGAGUCCAACCGCUAACCUAUCACUGCCAAGUCCACCACUAAACCAUAUCCUCAAGCACCACGUCUACCCUUCUUUUAAAUACCUCCAGGGAUGGAGACUCAACCACCUCCCUGGGCAGCCUGUUCCAAUGCCUGACAACCCUUUUGGUGAAGAAGUUUAUCCUAAGAUCCAACCUAAACUUCCCCUGGCGCAGCUUGAGGCCAUUUCCUCUCGUCCUAUUGCUUGUUACUAGGGAGAAGAGCCCGACCCCCGCCUCGCUACAACCUCUUUUCAGAUAGUUGUAGAGAGCGAUAAGGUCUCCCCUCAGUCUCCUCUUCUCCAGACUAAACAACCCCAAUUCCCUCAGCCACUCUUCAUAAGACUUGUUCUCUAGACGCUUCACCAGCUUCGUUGCCCUUCUCUGGACACGCUCCAGCACCUCAAUGUCCUUCGUGUAGUGAGGGACCCAAAACUGCACACAGUACUCGAGGUGCGGCCUCACCAGUGCCGAGCACAGGGGCACGAUCACCUCCCUGCUCCUGCUGGCCACACUAUUCCUGAUACAAGCCAGGAUGCCGUUGGCCUUCUUGGCCACCUGAGCCCACGGCCGGGUCAUGUUUAGCCAGGUGUCAGCCAACACCCCCAGAUCCUUUUCCUCCAGGCAGCUCUCCAGCCACUCCUCCCCAAGCCCGUAGCGUUGCAUGGGGUUGUUGUGACCGAAGUGCAGGACCUGGCACUUAGCCUUGUUGAAUCUCAUACCCUUGGCUCUGGCCCAACAAUCCAGCCUGUCCAGGUCCCUCUGUAGGGCCUUCCUGCCCUCCAGCAGAUCAACACUUCCACCCAGCUUGGUGUCAUCUGCAAACCUACUGAGGAUGCACUCAAUCCCCUCAUCCAGACCAUCAGUGAAGAUACUGAACAGGACCAGCCCCAACGCUGAGCCCAGAAUUUGCAUUGAUGACACUUCUUGCAAGUGGGUGCUUCAGCCCAGACUCUUGGUGGGGCUGUCUUGGUCCUUGUGUACUUUUAAGGAAGGGUGCAUAAAUAACUGGUCACAGAUACUGCCUAAUCAUUCUGUUGUCAACUUGAUUCCAGAGGCAACUGCAUUUUAACUUUGACAUAGUCAGGCAGACAUACUCACAGGCAGCUAAGACUCACAUCUUCUCGAAAUUAAGUGAAUGAAAUUUUGACAUUUUCCCCCUGACAUUCUCAAAAUCCCCUCUUGCACUCACAUUCUGUCCAAAGUCAAAUGUAUAGGGAGCAUACACAGAGUGCAAAACCUUGCCCUUCUGAAGUUUCAUUCAAGGAAUCGUCCUUUCUUUUUUUUUUAAGGCACCUUUAGUUAAUCCUACUUUAAUGCUUAAUAUCAGACAAGUAAGUUUAUUAUUUGUUUGGGCAUAAACCAAACUAUUUUAUAUUGUGAGGUCUAAUCCAUAUUUGGAAAUUUAUUUUUUAGGACACAUCACUUGUAACUCACUGAACAAAGGUUUUCUUUAAAAAUUAGUGAUCUCCUAAAAAGCACAAUAGGUUAAGACUCAUUUCUUGUCAAUUACAUUUUAGUGUAACACAAAUACAGAUCGUGCCCAAUAAUAAUCCAGCAUUUUUAAAAAGGAGUUUAAAAAAGCCCCAAAUCUAGUUCUGAAUUCCUAUGACACACGCAUAGUUUUUAAAACAAUAUUUCCACUCAUCUGAAGCAGCAGCUUAUCCUCAUAGCCUUAUUAUGUGCCUUGGAGUUAGUCUUUUAAGCAGAGUAGGAGGCUUGGAUUCCAAAUGUUUGAUCUAAAUGCCAUCUCAGGACUGGAACAAAUGUCACUGUGGUACACAGCCAUGGGAGGGGAGGGGAAAAAAAUAAAUCUGAACUAUCACUCUUCAAAGCUACUGUCGUCAGAAGGAGCAGAGGGUGCUGAACACCUCGUAAGACCGAGUUCUGUAUUUUAAUUUAAUUACAACUGUAAUUUUACUCAGAAUACAAAAAAACAAUAACUGAAUGUCUUCUUCAUGAUUCCCUAGUGCAUAAGUUGCACGUUGCAUGUUCUCUCCAUUGCUUUGUCCAGGCCUCCAAAGCCUUAGAGAGACUGUUGCACCAUUUCUUGAGGCAUUUGUCCCAAAGUUUCAAUGGCAAACCAAAUAAGAGGCAGAGAAUAAAAGGGACUAUAACAGCGGAGGGUGAUUCUCUCUGUUGCAUAACAUCACAGCUUGAAAUUAUAAUGAAAUUAGUUGUACAGAAAAAGGCCAAUGUCUAAGUCAUAUUACAUGUAAAAAUGUUUCAUAUUCUUAAAGAACUCCCCAUAUCCCAGUGGAUUCAUGAGCCAGUUUUAAGUGAGUUCCAGCAUGAAAUUUUGCCCACAGAACCAAAGAGGCUGGAUGAACAAACAUGAGAAUGAAGCACGAAGUGAACUUAGAGGUGUGAGCUUGGUGCCUUCAGCAUUAUGAGUAUCACCUGGACGCAUCAGAUGCCUCAUGCCACAGCAGAAGCCAGAAUUUUGCUUCUCUUCUUCCAAAGCAUAAAGGGCUGAAUCAACCAUUACUAUAGGUCCUGCAAUCCUAAAGAGCCUGUAGUUUUUCAAACCUAAAACUGAGAGGCUUUCAAGUAGCAGCAGUGUCUUCACACACGCUUAAAAAGAAAAAAAAACAAAAAACACCAACCCAACCACGCAGCUCUUUCAAUAUAAGCUGCUCUUGAGAGCUCUACAUUGUGCUAUGCUUUUUCAUUCACCCUUCUUGUUUUGAUCGAGCAAGGAUGACUAAUGUGCUAUUGUGAUGCACUUUUCUCAGAAAUGUGGCCAACUGAGGCUGCUUCCACCGUAGUUCCACGGGUGUUUAACAUUUAAAAAGAGCACUCAGCCGGGCAAUGGGUAAGUCAUUACAUUCCGCUUUAAAACAACAGGCCCCAUACAUAAACCAUGCUCUCAUGCAAAUCUGACCUACAUAAUGUUGAAAUCUUCCAAUGUCAGGAAGAUUUCACAAGUAAUCCCAUGUGUCCCAUAGCUGUAAAACUGGUGUUACUUCAGCACCACAGGAAGCACCGCAUGUGCCUCAAACAGCUUAUCGUGGCAUGCUUCAACCCCCUUGCUGCCCUUCCAGUGUCUUCCAGUUUGGCCAGGAAGUUUAGAUGGGACAAAUGUCUUCAGGACCAUUCAUCCUAUGCCAAGAAAUGCUCUUCCAGCCCAGUAUAUACACAGUUUAACCACCUGGUAAGGACUGUAACAACUCUUUAUGGCUUAAAAAAUAAUUUUAAAAAAUUAAAAAAGGGAAUACUCUAGACUGAAUAUAUGAGAUCACUGUGAAAACACUGACUUCAGCUGGACCAGGGUUUUAGUCCUUAUCCCUACAGAACUGCUGAAUAUUCAUUUAGGCCCUAAGGUACAAAGACCAAACAGCGCCCCAGAACACAAGCGAUAAGGAAGAUAUUAUUUUGCUAUGAGAAUACUUCGAAUCGUCCCUUGAAAACCAAACUCUCGAGCAUAAUUAUAUCACAUUACUGGCCUCCUACACUAUGGCCAGAGUAUUUUAGACAGACUCUGCUCCAACAACUUUUACUGCAUUUAAAUGCUCCAAUUUGAACAAGGCCUUGACUUCUUUAGACCGAAACCUGUCAACUCUUUGCUUUGACAGAAAAUUAUAACACGUUUCAACUUUUUAAACCAUUUUUCAGCCCAGAAUAAUGACUUUUCUGGAACACAAGGACAUGAAAAUGUACAUUUUUAAGAUGGGCAUCUGUCCCCAAAUCCAUCUAGUCUUUUCAACUGACCAUGUAGGUUAGUAAAGUUUGUUGUAGCACAAGCCAUUAGAUCUCAUUUCACAUUUCAAGACUUCUUUUUCACUCUUUCUGCCAAAUGAACACUUGUCUUUCCACUGCUUUUGCAGAAGGCCUGCAGUUUCAAACUCAGGUUUAAAACUGAGCAUUUCUACACAGAAAAGGACUCCUUACUUUUGACGUUCACAUAGGCCUAUGGUUAUCUGCAUGAAAAGGUUAUUAAAAGAGCAUUUUUUUAAUAGCAAUACUAGAUAUUCUUAAAUACAUUGCUCAGCCACAGUAAAUACAAUCAUUUUAUUCAUCUCUUCCUGGAAAGCUUACACUUAUUAAUGCCUCAUUAACCAAAAGAUCCUUCAUCAUAUUUAUCAUCAUUCACUGUCUUUAUUACAUAUAAAAAAGAACAUUUUCUUACCCUAAUCAAAAGGAUGAUAUGCUCCUCAGAAUCAUGUUAUGAAACGAUACAUGCAUCCACCUUAUAAGGAUGCCUUAUAAAUCUCCUUCCUUAUAAGAAGCAGGAAUAAAAAUGUUAAAUUAGACUAAGUUGAUUAAUCUCUUGGGCCCAAAUCAUCCAUAUCUGAUACUUGCAAAUAUUCUACUAUGUCACAAAAUGCAUGUUUUAAAAGCUGACAGUCUUCAAAACAGUUGGCAACUAGAUGUGUUGCUCAGAAAAUUAAUAUUGCUUUUUGAAGUAUUUUUUAAACAACAAAACCAAAAGCUUGAACCUAAUUCCAAACACAAAAUUAAAUUCUUUCCUCUAUACUAGGAAUUUCCAUAUGAUAUUUCACACUUGCCCUAAAACAACACUUUUUCUGACCCCAGUGAAAAUUCCUUGCAUUGGAAGGAAGAUUGUGAAUAACAAAAUCCCCAAGACAUAUCAGUGGAGAAAAUUUUAGCAGCAGGAAAAGCUUCAUUACAGCUAUCCAGGCUUGAAAAGAACAAAUUUAUAGUAAGAUCCUCCUUAAUAGUUUGCAACCAUGUAAUGCAUUUCUCUUACACAUGUUUUAUGCUAAUCCUUCUCUGCAAAUAAAUAUAUCCAUAAA
Molecule: non-coding RNA, 6803 nt
Organism: Phalacrocorax carbo (great cormorant)
Lineage: Eukaryota; Metazoa; Chordata; Aves; Suliformes; Phalacrocoracidae
Source: RefSeq, a predicted model, not a curated record